CCUACGGGGUGCCGCAGUGAGGAAUAUUGGUCAAUGGGCGGGAGCCUGAACCAGCCAAGUCGCGUGAGGGAAGACGGUCCUAUGGUUUGUACACCUCUUUAGGCGGGGAGCAAUGCCGGGCACGCGUGCCCGGAGGGAGAGUACCCGCAGAAUAAGCAUCGGCUAACUCCGUGCCAGCAGCCGCGGUAAUACGGAGGAUGCGAGCGUUAUUCGGAUGUAUUGGGUUUAAAGGGUGCGUAGGCGGAUUUUUAAGUCAGCGGUAAAAUGUCCGGGCUCAACCCGGACCGGCCGUUGAAACUGGGGAUCUAGAGUGGGCGAGAAGUAUGAGGAAUGCGUGGUGUAGCAGUGAAAUGCAAAGAUGUCACGCAGGACUCCGAUUGCGAAGGAAGCAUACCGGCGCCCGACUGACGCUGAGGCACGAAAGCGUGGGGAUCGAACAGGAUUAGAUACCGCAGUAGUC
This 460-nucleotide ribosomal RNA is filed under the name uncultured bacterium. Its description in RNAcentral is "partial 16S ribosomal RNA". It matches the Rfam family "Bacterial small subunit ribosomal RNA", at positions 338 to 795 of the family's 1533-position model. The record is from RNAcentral.